Molecule: ribosomal RNA, 443 nt
Filed under: uncultured bacterium
Lineage: Bacteria
Description: partial 16S ribosomal RNA
Rfam family: Bacterial small subunit ribosomal RNA
Source: RNAcentral
CCUACGGGAGGCAGCAGUGGGGAAUAUUGGGCAAUGGGCGCAAGCCUGACCCAGCAACGCCGCGUGAAGGAAGAAGGCUUUCGGGUUGUAAACUUCUUUUCUCAGGGACGAAGAAAGUGACGGUACCUGAGGGAUAAGCCACGGCUAACUACGUGCCAGCAGCCGCGGUAAUACGUAGGUGGCAAGCGUUAUCCGGAUUUAUUGGGUGUAAAGGGCGUGUAGGCGGGAGCGCAAGUCAGAUGUGAAAACUCAGGGCUCAACCCUGAGCCUGCAUUUGAAACUGUGUUUCUUGAGUGCUGGAGAGGCAAUCGGAAUUCCGUGUGUAGCGGUGAAAUGCGUAGAUAUACGGAGGAACACCAGUGGCGAAGGCGGAUUGCUGGACAGUAACUGACGCUGAGGCGCGAAAGCGUGGGGAGCAAACAGGAUUAGAUACCCUUGUAGUC